ACUCAAAUGAAUUGACGGGGACCCGCACAAGCGGUGGAGCGUGUUGUUUAAUUCGAUGGUAAGCGAAGAACCUUACCCAGACUUGACUUCCUUGGAAUUUUUACGAAAGUAAAUUGUGCCUUCGGGAACCAAGUGACAGGUGUUGCAUGGCCGUCGUCAGCUCGUGUCGUGAGAUGUUAGGUUAAGUCCUUCAACGAGCGCAACCCUUGUAUUCAGUUGAAUUUUUCUGAAUAGACUGCCCUGGUAACAGGGAGGAAGGGGGGGAUGAUGUCAGGUCAGUAUUACCCUUACGUCUGGGGCUACAAACACGCUACAAUGGCCGGUACAAAGGGCAGCCAACCCGCGAGGGGGAGCAAAUCCUAUCAAAGCCGGUCUCAGUUCGGAUUGCAGGCUGAAACUCGCCUGCAUGAAGCUGGAAUCGCUAGUAACGGUAAGUCAGCACAUUACCGUGAAUACGUUCCCGGGUCUUGUACACACCGCCCGU
RNAcentral lists this ribosomal RNA (484 nucleotides) under uncultured bacterium. RNAcentral describes it as "partial 16S ribosomal RNA". It matches the Rfam family "Bacterial small subunit ribosomal RNA", at positions 899 to 1397 of the family's 1533-position model. The record is from RNAcentral.